Paramuricea clavata is the source of this 296-nucleotide non-coding RNA. The record is from the annotation of a GenBank genome assembly. NCBI's taxonomy places the organism in Eukaryota, Metazoa, Cnidaria, Anthozoa, Malacalcyonacea, Plexauridae.
CGCUAAACUUAUAUAAGUAGGUGGUAUGAAAUCUGAGACUAUAGAAUCAUUGUAUGCACCCGUUGAAGGCUAUAGACUGAUAGUCGAAAGCUUUUAUAAUAAAUAUUAAGUCAGAGAACGUUCAAUAGAUGUUUUAACCUGGCUACGCAUCCUCUAUUUUUUCAAAACAAAUCUGAUUAAAUAGACCACUUUGGCGGUUUUGUGUUAAGUGGAAACACGUGCUCGCGAAAUCGGAAACUCGGACAAACAUGACGGAGUGUAAUACAAAUGCUAUUCAAAAUCAAAAUACACAAAUG